Molecule: long non-coding RNA, 4252 nt
Filed under: Equus asinus (donkey)
Lineage: Eukaryota; Metazoa; Chordata; Mammalia; Perissodactyla; Equidae
Description: lncRNA (ENSEASG00005033318.1)
Source: RNAcentral
CUUCAAAUGCUUUCAUGACUACUAGAAAUAUAUAUAUAUUUUUUCUCUUCAAAACAAUGCAACGCAUAUUCUUGGCUUUCCCUUCAAGCAAUGGGCCCCCACGUGGGGAAGUCAUUUUCGUGUCUGUGAGCAAAUGCGGUGAUUAGGUUGUCAGUGACCUUACAGUCAUUAUUAGUUUUCACAAGCCCUCAGUGAACUUCAUGUCUGAGCUCUCCUUCAGUUCAGGGUUGAUGUGCAAUGACUCAUGUACCCGCUGUAAUACUCCAAAACUACUGUGUGAUUCCUUUCCUCUCUCCUUUCCCCUCUGCAUUUCACUUUCCCUUCAUAUCUCAUGAGCACAUAGUUCCUUCUUUAAUGACUAAUUGUAUUGAGUGCCAUGACCAGUCUUAGGAGUGUUGUAAUAUGAAUGAAGCAAUCAAAACUCUCCACUUGAUCACUCCUGUUUAUUAUUUUUUAAAGAAAGAUGAAAGUUGUCAUGUGCAAAUGGGGGCAUUAAUUCCUUUACCUAUUCCACAACUUUAGCUCAAAUAUGCCAAGGAAAUAGAGUGUACGUGUGAGUGUGUGUGCCUGUGCUUGAAGCAAGAGAAUCGAAGGAGACCAGCAAGCCUCAAAGUUAAGUAAAAUUUGGAAUCAACAUUUAAAUUAGGUAUGCUUUAUGGCUUGAUGUUAUUUGAAAGCUGAAUAGCUGAUGUCAAAAAUAGACUUCCCUUUCUUUCCAAAGUGUGGCAAAAAUAACCACAUGCUUUUCUUGGAUUCCUGACUCUCACCCCUAAGGGUUUUCUUGUAUAGGAACCAACAAUUCCUUGGAUGGAAACACUGGAUAGGCUAGUCAUUAUUUUGAGAUUUAGGAGAUUGCAGAUUCUUGGCAGACUGUGGUUGUUUUUCUAGAGUAGUAGGCAAGUAGUUGGACAAAAAGCAAGAAGCUGAUCCAUGUUGCUGGCUUUGGGUUCUUCGUGAACAAAUGAGACAAGGCUGAAAAUUCUAUGCGCAUUCUACCCAGCUUCUUAGAAGGUCCUCACAGAAGAUGAGAUGGAUCACGUGGCCACCUUCACUGCCUCCUUCCCCACUUUACUCCUUCCAGGAGUCUAGGGACUCCUGUCUGCUGGGAUCAUUCUCCAAAAUAACCUUCCUUUACAGAAACCCUUGUCACAGGCUCUGUUUCCUGCGCGGAACCCAGACUGAGACACUAAAAUGAUACAAUAGAAUGAAGACAUGAAUGUGAAUUGCUCAGGGGUUGGUUGGAUUGUAUAUCUCUGUGAAUAGGGUUCAAAGAGAAGUUUGGGAAACACUGGACUAGAUGACCACUGGCAUCACAGCGUGUAGAAUUAGAACCUUCACAUCCCCAUCCAGCUAUAACAGGUUUAUGAGUAUCUAGGUCUUCCACGAAGAACAGUAGGAGAAGAUCCCCAAGCCUCGUCAGACCUGUUGAAUAUCCAUGAGUAUGUGUGACAUCCAGGAGAAACAGAGAACAAAACAAAACAGAACAUUUUCACAAACAUUCAGAACCCUACGAUCUUGGGAGUCUUCUGCACUCUAUAGUAGUAAUAGAUUAUGUCCAAAUCUGUUACAAAUUAUUAAACUGCAAGUGAUGUUGGCCUAUUCCAAGGAAACUGUUGGUCUCACUCUAGGGCAUGCCUAAAGGCAUUUGACCUCAGGAAUACCCAAGGCGUUUGUUCGACCGUGACGGGAAGAGGUGCAUGGCUGGCCAUGGACACUUGACAUGUUCUCAAAUCAAAGCUUCUAGUUAGGUUUCCUGUGGUGGCUAAAGUACUUUCUUUUCGGGUUCACUAUACAUUUAUUAACCAUUCUAUUUUUGUACCAUACAAAUUAUCAUUGCUGACGGUUGAAUGGCUGGAUUUGGAGAAAUGUGGUAGCCCUAAUGGAAUUAAUUAAGUGAAUAAUAUUGCCUGACAAAUGGCUCCGCGUACCAAAGAGGGCUUGAGACUUAAUUACUGAUGUCAUUUAUCUCUCUAUUUGCACCCCAACAAUAAGUGACUCGCUUCUCAUUAACGUUGGAUCAUCUUCGAAAAGGAAAAAAAGUGGCCAAAAUAUCAAGAAAGAAAAAAAAAUUGAUGUCUUCGUUCCCCACUUCAUUAUCCUGAUAAAUCAUAACAGACUCUGUUAAUUAGAUGGGCAGCUUUAACUGGCUGACUCCUGUCCAACAAUUACCUCAGAAAGAAGCACCACUGGGAACAUUUCCUUCCCUUGGGAGGACAUGAAAGAAAGUCCAUAACAGAAAAAGGGAUCAUUUCCCCAGCCGUGCUGGGGACCACAGUGGUCAGUAUGAAUUUCUAGACUGAAGGGCUGGAGCUGUUGCAGAGAUGUUGCUGAUGCGUGAUGGCGAUGGUGGGGUGACCCAUGCUGUCCUCUUAAUCUAAGACUUAGAAGAGUGGUGUCAUAGGUUGAAUUGUGUUCCCCCAAAAGACACUGAAGUCUUAAUUCUCAGCACGUGUGGAAGUGACCUUAUUUGGAAAAUAGGGUCUUUGCAGAUGAUCAAGUUAAGAUGAGGUCAUCAAUACUGGCCUAACCCAAUAUGACUGAUGUCCUUAUAAAAUGGAGAAACUUGGACACAGAGACAGACGUGCACAUAAGGAGAAUGCCAUGUGACAAGGGAGGCAAAGAUUGGGUGAUCUUUCUACAAGCCAAGGGGUGCCAAAGAUUGUCAGCAAACCGCUAGGAGUUCCGGGAGAGGCCUGGAGCAGAUCCUUCGUCUCAGCCCUCAGAAGGAACCAACCCUACGCACACCUUGAUCUCGGACUUCCAGCCUCCAGAACUGUGAGCCAAUACAUUUCUGUUGUUUCAAGCCAUCCACGUGUGGUAUUUUGUUAUGGAAGCCUGAGCAAACUAAUUCAAGCGGGUACUGGUUUCAAAGUGUCUAAAAACGCUCUCAUUGCUCUUGGGGUUUGUACAGUUCACAGAAAUGAGCCAUCUUGCUGGCCAAGGCUGCCGGCGGGGCUACUGUGAGAAGUCGGUCAGUAACCAAUACCGAUUUCUCAGUACCAGGCGCUGGAGAGAUGGUGAAGGAGACAGAUGUGGUUCCUGAUCUCCAGCAGCCAGCAGUCUGGUGGGAAGGGGAGGCAAUGAAGAUGACCUUGUACUUAAUCAGUUAAAUAUGAAUAUGUAUUCAGUGUGCAGAGGACGGACCGACGAAGCACAUCCUGGGGGAGGCACCCCAAGCUGGGCUGGAAAAAAAAAGGCUCGCAGAGGAAAGGAUGUCUAAGCUGAGACCUGAUGAGCAAGGGUUAUCUGGAUUUUAAAAAUGGGCUGUGGAAGGAGCAGGUGUGAAGGCUCUAGGGCAAGAGGAAGCAAGGAGCGUACACACAUACCCAGAGAAAUCCAAGAACAGAGCAGCUGGGGACGGCAUAGUAGCUUCCAGUUCUUUUUCUCAGCCUUCAUCUUCUCAUGCAUCAAAGGUUUACAGCACACUUAACAUGUUCUGUCCCCCGAGCUAGGGGCUGGGGGAUGCCCGUGGUGGAGACCAACACGUAAACUGCCCAUCAAGCAGCUGAUGGCCCAGGGCUGGGAAAAGAGAUGGGAGCAGACGGAGAGAACAGAGCCACCACUUCUGUCAGGACAACUCGGAGCAGCGGAGGAAGCCACCUCUCAGGUGAAUCUUGAGGAAAAGCUACAUGCAUGGGCUAUGGGAGGGAAACGGGUAAACCGAAAAUGUUAACCUGUGGUCAGAAGAAAAAGACCCUUCGGUCCCUGAUCUCUCUGGCCAAUAGUUUUCAUGUGACUGGACUUGAAGAGGUCACAUGUCACAUCCAGAAACUUUAAUUCUUUCUAAGUGUAUAAUGUGAUUCUAUUUCUCUGAAGCAGAAUUUGAGUUGCAGCUUAUCUAGUUUUCAUUCAACGACAUGGCAGGACGUUUCAGAACAUUCUACAGAACACCUUUGUGAUGGCUUCUUGUCCUUGAGGCCCCACGCCCAAAUACUUGGACCUGGGUUCCCAGGACCUACCAUGGACACCAUCUUGAAUUUAGGUUUUUCUCUCCUUGGCCAGAGUCUGAGGAAAUAAUGAAAUCUAUAGACUCAAUCCAUCCUGGGCAUAUAUUUUUGAACUCUAGCUUUGGCAGUUCUUAGGUACAGCCCAAUCAAAAGGGGCCAUUAAGGGUGCCAUUUUCAAGAUGCAUUUCUAGGUUGGAUAUUAAAGUCACUGUUUGCCGUCUCUAAUUGACUUCAAUUAUCUGUCUCUUGUGGGCCCAGGACAGAAAGUUUUGGGAAGGCAAAACUAGACUCUGAUUUUGUAGGCA